GACGAACGCUGGCGGCGUGCUUAACACAUGCAAGUUGAACGGAAAGGCCCUGCUUUUGUGGGGUGCUCGAGUGGCGAACGGGUGAGUAACACGUGAGUAACCUACCCUUGACUUUGGGAUAACUUCAGGAAACUGGGGCUAAUACCGGAUAGGAGCUCCUGCUGCAUGGUGGAGGUUGGAAAGUUUCGGCGGUUGGGGAUGGACUCGCGGCUUAUCAGCUUGUUGGUGGGGUAGUGGCUUACCAAGGCUUUGACGGGUAGCCGGCCUGAGAGGGUGACCGGCCACAUUGGGACUGAGAUACGGCCCAGACUCCUACGGGAGGCAGCAGUGGGGAAUAUUGCACAAUGGGCGGAAGCCUGAUGCAGCAACGCCGCGUGCGGGAUGACGGCCUUCGGGUUGUAAACCGCUUUCGCCUGUGACGAAGCGUGAGUGACGGUAAUGGGUAAAGAAGCACCGGCUAACUACGUG
RNAcentral lists this ribosomal RNA (468 nucleotides) under uncultured bacterium. RNAcentral's name for it is "partial 16S ribosomal RNA". It matches the Rfam family "Bacterial small subunit ribosomal RNA", at positions 28 to 507 of the family's 1533-position model. The record is from RNAcentral.